This 371-nucleotide long non-coding RNA is filed under the name Mytilus galloprovincialis (Mediterranean mussel). Lineage: Eukaryota; Metazoa; Mollusca; Bivalvia; Mytilida; Mytilidae. The record is from RNAcentral.
UACCUGCAUGUACUAUUGACAGCAACAGAAGAGCCAAAAGAGAUACCAUGCUGAAUUGGCAGAGGUGAUCAUGUAUUGAAAACAACCUCAUCACAGAUACAAGGCUAAUGAUAUAUGAUAUGACAGCCAAUGGUCUAUUUAUUACUUUUCACUAGCGUGCUAUUCUAAUUGGUCGUAAACAGGUUGUGGAAAGAGUUAUUCAGCCGUGGAGGAGAAGAUAUGAAAACGAUUGAUGAUUAUAUAAUAACCUUUACUUUACAUAAAAUAAGAGUUAAUACAUUUAAAUGUCAAGUUUAUCACUAUGUGCAUGUAAAUAUAUCUAUUUUUGUGCAUUUAAAUUGACAAAAAACUCUCAAAUAUAUCUCUAUUUA